GAUGAACGCUGACAGAAUGCUUAACACAUGCAAGUCUUUGGCGAAGCUGUGCUCGCACAGCCUAGCCAAGGCGGACGGGUGAGUAACGCGUCAGGAACUUGCCCUGCAGUCAGGGAUAACAGACGGAAACGACUGAUAAGAUCUGGUAAAGUCAGGCGGACUCAUGUCCAGCCUGAUGAAAAGAGGUGCUGCAGGAGAGCCUUGCGUCCUAUUAGCUUGUUGGUGGGGUAACGGCCCACCAAGGCGAUGAUAGGUAGCCGGCCUGAGAGGGUGGACGGCCACAGGGAGAGUGAGAUACGGCCCUUACUCCUACGGGAGGCAGCAGUGGGGAAUAUUGGACAAUGGGGGCGACCCUGAUCCAGAAAUUCUGUGUGCACGAUGAAGGUUUUCGGAGUGUAAAGUGCUUUCAGCAGGGAAGAAAAAAAUGACGGUACCUGCAGAAGAAGCGACGGCUAAAUACGUG
This 463-nucleotide ribosomal RNA is filed under the name uncultured bacterium. RNAcentral's name for it is "partial 16S ribosomal RNA". It matches the Rfam family "Bacterial small subunit ribosomal RNA", at positions 28 to 507 of the family's 1533-position model. The record is from RNAcentral.